Molecule: ribosomal RNA, 513 nt
Filed under: uncultured bacterium
Lineage: Bacteria
Description: bacterial SSU rRNA
Rfam family: Bacterial small subunit ribosomal RNA
Source: RNAcentral
UGGGGAAUAUUGCACAAUGGGCGGAAGCCUGAUGCAGCAACGCCGCGUGCGGGAUGACGGCCUUCGGGUUGUAAACCGCUUUCGCCUGUGACGAAGCGUGAGUGACGGUAAUGGGUAAAGAAGCACCGGCUAACUACGUGCCAGCAGCCGCGGUGAUACGUAGGGUGCGAGCGUUGUCCGGAUUUAUUGGGCGUAAAGGGCUCGUAGGUGGUUGAUCGCGUCGGAAGUGUAAUCUUGGGGCUUAACCCUGAGCGUGCUUUCGAUACGGGUUGACUUGAGGAAGGUAGGGGAGAAUGGAAUUCCUGGUGGAGCGGUGGAAUGCGCAGAUAUCAGGAGGAACACCAGUGGCGAAGGCGGUUCUCUGGGCCUUUCCUGACGCUGAGGAGCGAAAGCGUGGGGAGCGAACAGGCUUAGAUACCCUGGUAGUCCACGCUGUAAACGGUGGGUACUAGGUGUGGGGUCCAUUCCACGGGUUCCGUGCCGUAGCUAACGCUUUAANUACCCCGCCUGGGA